AUCUGUUCAAAUUUCAGUCGACAAAACAGCUGGCCUCCAUAAAGUCAUUUCAUUUCCCAUCACCGACUUAGCCUUAAUGGUAGCAGAUUUCCACAAAUCUUUUAGUCUUCUGCUACAUAUUCAAAACCACUAUUUUCUUUCAGUCUGGAUGCCUUGGACGCUUCCUCUCCAUAGCGCAAUGGACGAAUCUGGGAAUAUCUCCGACCAGCCGCAAAUGGAGUUGCAAUAUUGGAAUGGAUGACUAAUUUGGAGGCCAAUAUUUCCCCCUCUUCGUUUCGAACAACUAACCACGAAGCAGAUCUUGAAAGUUGUUGGUCAAAAGCCACAUCGAAAUAAAUCGCCACAGAUAGUCUUCUUUCAAUAGACUUAGGAACCAUGCUAGCAUCUAAGAUUAACCAAAGCCCACAAUAAAAAGGCGACUCUGUUCGUUUGUUCUUUGACUGAAUACCCAGGUUAACCAACUCCAUACACUAUCAGUGUUGUUUUGCAGUACCCAAGAAAGCUUUAAAAAUCUCCAUACUUCUAUCGUUGUAGGGCAGCUACGGAAGACAUGGUUACAGUCCUCCUCCACCUGUUUACAUUGGGAACAACGAGCAUCAGAAGCAACUUGUCUUUGCUUCAGAUUAACAAAAGUUGGAAUGUAAUUCCAAGAUAUCCUCUAGAUUGUAAUUUUAACUUUCGAGGGCAUUUGUAAAUUCUAUAGCUUUUUGAAAAACUUUUAGUUUCGGUCUGUAUAAUAAUAGGAUUUAGAGUAGCCUCCUGUAAUAGUUUGUAGGCGCUUCGAACAGAAAAAUAACCAGAAGGCUCUCCUUUCCAGACUUGGAAGUCUUCAUGCGCUAUACUACACUCACCAAAGGAAUCUGCUUGAUCUUUCUAGUUAAAUCCGCUCUGAAUGUAUUGUCAAUUAAGUCUGCUUUCCAUGUUCUGUUAACUUCAUCUAUCAAAUCCGAUACUAAUACAAAA
Molecule: long non-coding RNA, 963 nt
Organism: Gossypium arboreum
Lineage: Eukaryota; Viridiplantae; Streptophyta; Magnoliopsida; Malvales; Malvaceae
Exons: 3
Source: RefSeq, a predicted model, not a curated record